Molecule: transfer RNA, 84 nt
Filed under: Salmonella enterica
Lineage: Bacteria; Pseudomonadati; Pseudomonadota; Gammaproteobacteria; Enterobacterales; Enterobacteriaceae
Description: tRNA-Leu
Rfam family: tRNA
About the family: Transfer RNA (tRNA) molecules are approximately 80 nucleotides in length. Their secondary structure includes four short double-helical elements and three loops (D, anti-codon, and T loops).
Source: RNAcentral
GCGAAGGUGGCGGAAUUGGUAGACGCGCUAGCUUCAGGUGUUAGCGUCCUUACGGACGUGGGGGUUCAAGUCCCCCCCCUCGCA